This 1812-nucleotide ribosomal RNA is filed under the name Triticum aestivum (bread wheat). RNAcentral's name for it is "partial small subunit ribosomal RNA". Lineage: Eukaryota; Viridiplantae; Streptophyta; Magnoliopsida; Poales; Poaceae. The record is from RNAcentral.
AUGGAGGACGUCGGCUCCGGUGACGCGACAGUGCAAGGCAGCCGAUGUCAAGAUCCCAUGACGCGGCCAGAUCUGUCCCCGCCGCCUCCUUUCUCAGGGCCCACUGGACGUUGGGAAUCCCCCACGGUGACAAGUUAUGUUAUGGAAACUGAAGACUUGUUUGUGCCUGUUUGGGUAAAAAACUACAGUGAGGAAAGAAGGAAGAACUGGGUGCCGUCAUCGUCUGAUCUCAAACUACUUUCGCUCAAUCGUCUUAAACAGCAACAAGCUUGUGAGGAUAACCGCAAGGUGGUUGUGAAGGAUGUAAGUUGGAGGAAGAAGUGGGUGGCGGCGUGGAUGGAUGUGGUGAGUAGGAAGAAGUGGGUGGCAUAUACAGGCAUAAUCAUCAUGGUCAUGCUUGUCAUGGCCGCCAUCCCGCAUGACGAGGACUACCAUGACUUUGCCGACCAACGCACACUUUUCCUUGGGAUCCCUAAUACGCUGAAUGUGAUCUCAACAAUCCCCCUCUUUUUUGUCGGUCUCGCCGGGCUCAUCCUUAACCACUGCAAAAGCUAUUUUAGGCUAUGGUCACAGGGGGAUCUCUACACACUCUUUGCUGGUGUCAGUGCUGCUGGCUUUGGUUCAUGCUAUUACCAUCUCAACCCAGAAAAUGGCACCCUAUUUUGGCACAAAUUGCCAAUGGUGACCACUUUCACAUGUUUUGAGGCCAUUUUCAUUAUUGAAAGUUUUGAUGAUUGGGCAAGAACAAAGUCCCUUGCAUCAACAAGCUACUGGUUACGGGCAGCAGGAUUGUACCUCCUUGCUAGAGUAGAAGAGGUUGCGGACAAACAAAUUUAUAGGUGGACUCUUCAGAUUGUUAGUGGGCAUACUCUUGGUCAUUUAUGUGUUUCGAUGGUACCUCUUUUUUUGAUUCUCAUGUUAGCAGAAAGGACAAGGCCAAUUGAACUAGAAAGACGCAUGGUUCCAGUGCAUCAUCAACUAAAUCUUACUUCUAUGGUCUGCUUAUUGGUGCCCAAGAUGAUCUGCCUCUGGGUGCCCAAGAUACAGGUUAGUGUCACCUUUUGUGAAAUCAGCAUUCUGAUGUGGGAGUUUGGUGCUCGUCCUGUUAAUCAGGCAAAGAUCUCUGACGAUCAAGCAAUGUUAGAAACCCCAAUUCGUGCUUGGGAGACUCUGUCACGAAUUCAUGGCCUUUGGGGGAUGGACAUUUACAAGAAUAAGGUGCUGCAGUUUUUACAGAGUGAGUGGUCGGAUGAGUCCUUUCUUGGAUUAUGGGGCCCGCCGGGUGUUGGCAAGACGCGACUUCUUUCACUCAUUGCUGCUAGCUAUGCCGAUUCAUUCCGUCACAUCUUAUUUCUUGAUGGUGGCAGCAGCGUGAUAGUUAUGCAACAUCAUCUUGCUUCUUUCUUGAAAUUGGAUUGGGAGACGAUGUCGGCGUUAGAGGAGCAUUGCCGAGCUAAGAUCAUCACUGACAUUCUAGUGCAAGACAGUUUUUUGCUUCUAUUAGACAACGUUUAUGAUAGACCCUACCCAGACUUGGUAGCUGUUGGUUUGCCGAUGCCUCUUGGGUGUCAUCAAAAGGUUGUUCUUACAUCAAGGAGACAGAAGGUGUGUGGAUUCAUGGAAUGCACGAUAUCAAAUAUUGUGCCGAUGAAGUGCCUCGGGGACGAAGAUGCUUGGAGACUUUUCAAGUACCAUGCGGGAGUUGAAAUCACAGAAGCUGAUGCUGAAAUUUACGAUUAUGCAAAACAGGUGUAUUUCUGUAGAAUCCUUUAUAGCUAUACUUUUAAUAAUUGUUGGUGCACUAAUUUGUAA